UACAGGGGGGGCAAGCGUUGUUCGGAAUUACUGGGCGUAAAGGGCUCGUAGGCGGCCAACUAAGUCACACGUGAAAUCCCCAGGCUUAACCUGGGAACUGCGUGUGAUACUGGAUGGCUUGAAUCCGGGAGAGGGAUGCGGAAUUCCAGGUGUAGCGGUGAAAUGCGUAGAUAUCUGGAGGAACACCUGUGGCGAAAGCGGCUCACUGGACCACAACUGACGCUGAUGCACGAAAGCUAGGGGAGCAAACAGG
RNAcentral lists this ribosomal RNA (253 nucleotides) under uncultured bacterium. RNAcentral's name for it is "partial 16S ribosomal RNA". It matches the Rfam family "Bacterial small subunit ribosomal RNA", at positions 524 to 776 of the family's 1533-position model. The record is from RNAcentral.